RNAcentral lists this long non-coding RNA (315 nucleotides) under Brassica napus (rape). RNAcentral's name for it is "long non-coding RNA (BNAP_LNC004332)". Lineage: Eukaryota; Viridiplantae; Streptophyta; Magnoliopsida; Brassicales; Brassicaceae. The record is from RNAcentral.
CACCUUAAUCUCGUCAAGCCUCUGGUGUAGCUGAUCUAGACCUGCAUUCAUGAUGUUAGUAAUGGAAUCAUUCAACGUCCUCAUUUAUGAGUUAAACAAUCUAGCGACAUAAUUUCAUGGACGAUCUCUUUCUCCUUCACUAUCCAUGGUUUCCUGAAAAUGCUAAACACAAAAUUCAGUAGAUAAAAACCUCAUGCACUCAAGUGUUUACUCUCACCCACAGACGUGUUUCUCUCGGAAUUUAUGUAGUCACUCAAGAUCCUUCUCUCAAAGUUCUAAGAGAACAAAUCCAAGUAACCUAAUGGAAUCUCCAAG